CUCUGUGGAGUCAGUGGUGGAUGUAGUGGCCAGGAAAAGGCUAGACUGUGAGGCGGCCACAGAUCCCAGUACUGAGCACAGCUCCCCUGAGGGUCCCAGUCCAGAGCCAACUAGGGUAGAGCUUCAUACUGGGCAGAGGCAGUUUACAAACAAGGAGAAACUCUUCCUGAUUUCCAGGUCUCACACCCCAGGAGUAGAAGACCCUGAAUUGGAAAACUCUUCCAACUAGGGAGAGCGGGGCAGGGAAAGCAGACACGCGUGGGGGGUAGAGUACCACUGGAACCUCUGCAUUAAAAGUCCCCACCCUACCCCGACUCCCCUGUGGACAAGUCCGAGGAAACCAUUCAAUAUCCAAAGAGCUACAGAAUGUUAUCCUUGAAUUACGUUCACAAGAUUCCUGUAGAUAACUCAAGCAAUUUUUUUAAAAAAAAACAAACAAGCAAAGUCGUCUUUUUAUGUCCGAUGGUGAUUGUACGUUCGAUGAAAACCAAAUGUAUUAAAAGAUCACAACAUAGUUCAUUAGAGGAAACUCUCUUAAUUUUCUUAGGAUCAAAAUAAUAUAUUUUUGACAGUAACUCUGUACUUUAUUCCUAUUUUUCUUUGCCCCGCCCCCGCCCAACUUCCCGCUCCUGUACUCUGCUGCUGACUUCGUCCAUAGCUGCUUGUAAAUGGAUGACAAGCUGACUUCCGCCCUCUUGCAGAGCUUAGAAUUGAACUUUCUAGGUGGAGUCAAAGCCCAAAGCAUGAGUAUUCGGGGAAAGAGGGCUUCCUUGCCUCACCCCACUGUGCUCUACAGGUGUCCAGAGGAUUCUAUUUUUUAAAAGGAUAUUUGAAUUUUGCUACCAGGGUAUGUGAAAAGUGGAGGGCGCCAGCGACCACACUGGAUUGUUAUGUUCUUAAGCUCACAAUACCAAGUACACCAUGCGUUCCUGAGUAUUAUCACACUUGUAUGGAAAAAUAACAUUAAUAUUUAAAGUCCUUUUUUUAAUAAAAAGUUUCCAAACGGUUAAACAU
Molecule: long non-coding RNA, 1014 nt
Filed under: Rattus norvegicus (Norway rat)
Lineage: Eukaryota; Metazoa; Chordata; Mammalia; Rodentia; Muridae
Description: long non-coding RNA NONRATT029735
Source: RNAcentral